GACGAACGCUGGCGGCGUGCCUAACACAUGCAAGUCGAGCGGGAACCUCAGGAGGGGUAACCCUCCUGAGGGGAGAGCGGCGAACGGGUGAGUAACACGUGGGCAACCUGCCCCGGACACCGGGAUAACCCAGGGAAACCUGAGCUAAUACCGGAUACUCCGGCGAGAUCGCGUUGUCGCGCCGGGAAAGCUCCGACGGUCCGGGAUGGGCCCGCGGCCUAUCAGCUUGUUGGUGGGGUAACGGCCCACCAAGGCGAGGACGGGUAGCUGGUCUGGGAGGAAGGCCAGGCACACUGGGACUGAGACACGGCCCAGACUCCUACGGGAGGCAGCAGGGGGGGAUCUUGCGCUAAUGCGCGAAAGCGUGACGCAGCGACGCCGCGUGGGGGAUGAAGGCCCUCGGGUUGUAAACCCCUUUCGGCAGGGACGAAGCGAAAGUGACGGUACCUGCAGAAGAAGUCCCGGCUAACUACGUGCCAGCCGCCGCCGUAA
Molecule: ribosomal RNA, 492 nt
Filed under: uncultured bacterium
Lineage: Bacteria
Description: partial 16S ribosomal RNA
Rfam family: Bacterial small subunit ribosomal RNA
Source: RNAcentral